Molecule: ribosomal RNA, 450 nt
Filed under: uncultured bacterium
Lineage: Bacteria
Description: SSU rRNA
Rfam family: Bacterial small subunit ribosomal RNA
Source: RNAcentral
AGAGCGAACGCUGGCGGCAGGCCUAACACAUGCAAGUCGAGCGCCCGUAGCAAUACGGGAGCGGCAGACGGGAUAGUAACACGUGGGAACGCGCCCUUCGGUUCGGAAUAACUCAGGGAAACUUGAGCUAAUACCGAAUACGCCCUUACGGGGAAAGAUUUAUUGCCGAAGGAACGGCCCGCGUCCGAUUAGCUAGUUGGUGAGGUAAUGGCUCACCAAGGCUACGAUCGGUAGCUGGUCUGAGAGGAUGACCAGCAUCACUGGGACUGAGACACGGCCCAGACUCCUACGGGAGGCAGCAGUGGGGAAUAUUGGACAAUGGGCGCAAGCCUGAUCCAGCCAUGCCGCGUGGAUGAUGAAGGCCUUAGGGUUGUAAAGUCCGUUUUAACGGGGAAGUAUAAUGACGGUACCCGUAGAAGAAGCCCCGGCUAACUACGUGCCAGCAGCCGC